Molecule: long non-coding RNA, 494 nt
Organism: Mandrillus leucophaeus (drill)
Lineage: Eukaryota; Metazoa; Chordata; Mammalia; Primates; Cercopithecidae
Exons: 4
Source: RefSeq, a predicted model, not a curated record
GAGUUUAGGCUGCGCUGACCCCUCUCAGCCCCCCCUCCAGUGCCUCCCAAAUCUCCAAGCCCACCCUGUCCUGUGGUGGCAACUGAGGCUUCCCGGGGGCAUCGGCCUCAGAUUACCUGAGAACUGGGCAGCCUCGUCCUGAGCAUGACGGAGAAGGGGACCUGGGGCUAGGGAAUCCCUGAUUCAAUCAUGCCGCUCCCCAGGAGACGUUCGGAGCCCAGGACAUGUCGGGAAUGAGGAGAUACGAAGUGGCGCUGGAGGCGGAGGAGGAGAUCUACUGGGGCUGUUUCUACUUUUUCCCCUGGCUGCGCAUGUGGCGGAGGGAGCGGAGCUCGGCGCACCCCGGGGAGCAGAAGCUGGAGCCUCUGCGAGGCCUGAUGAGCUGUCUGUCCAGCGGCCUGGGCCCUGCUCCCCAGCGCUCGGGUCGUAGCCUCCCCCGCCGCAGCCCCACCGCCGCUGCCCAGCCAGCCAGUGCAUUAAAGAUUUAAACCGAA